This 202-nucleotide long non-coding RNA is filed under the name Elaeis guineensis (African oil palm). RNAcentral describes it as "long non-coding RNA (EGUI_LNC059313)". Lineage: Eukaryota; Viridiplantae; Streptophyta; Magnoliopsida; Arecales; Arecaceae. The record is from RNAcentral.
GUUGUUUAGUCCUUAAACCUGUUCGUGAUCAAAUGAUACGUUGUUACCAAGGACAACAAUGUUUAUCAAGCAUAGAUCAUUGUGUGCCAUAUGGGUUGGUUGUCCUCUUAACCAAGGAGUGUGGAGACACUGGUAUGGCAUACAGGUGAGAUGUAAGGGUACAUCUGCACUGAACGUGACUGACUCCGGAGCUAUUUCUGCU